GUCCAGGGAUGGGAAUCGAACCCACACUGUUCCGCUUACCGGGCAGAUGCCAUGUCCACUAGGCUACCCUGGA
Molecule: non-coding RNA, 73 nt
Organism: Cordylochernes scorpioides
Lineage: Eukaryota; Metazoa; Arthropoda; Arachnida; Pseudoscorpiones; Chernetidae
Source: the annotation of a GenBank genome assembly